Molecule: long non-coding RNA, 705 nt
Organism: Meriones unguiculatus (Mongolian gerbil)
Lineage: Eukaryota; Metazoa; Chordata; Mammalia; Rodentia; Muridae
Exons: 3
Source: RefSeq, a predicted model, not a curated record
AAGGGUUCUAGCAAAUGUUUAAAAAGUUUUAAUAUUAACCAUGUUACAGAAAGUCCUUACUGUCCACAGGAUCAAACUAUUGUGGAACACCAUCAAAUACUUGGUGAUUUUAAAAGUAAAAAGUAUUAUAUGCACCCAUCUAAAUGCUCACAUACUCUGCUGCAUUUAGCUAUGCUAACUUAAAUCUUUAAAAUAAUGUUCACUUUAAAGGAAAAUGUUUUUUCUGCUUCCCAACAGCAAUUUUCCUGAAGACAUAACCUAAAAUAAAAGCUAACUAAACGGAAAGAGCCCAAUGUUCCCGUGACAUCGAGUCAAGGUUAUGCUUGUGUCUUUCCAGAAUGCAUGAAGGUCCAGAUGGUUCCUGAUCUAAUGCAUCCAGCCAAGACACCCAGAGACCACAGGGCAAACGAGUCAUCUGAAGCUCCUGUUUAAAGACAAAGCAAAACAGUUCACCUCAGUACAAGGACAAUCAAACUUGUUUUCAGAGGACACAUUCCUGUAUGGCAGACAUGGUCCAAGGUCUCACAGACAAGUUAAAGAAACUUGGCAAAACCGCCAUCUUAUUUCCGCUUCAAGUCAGACAGCUUGGGUUCUCAAGAUGCCAUAGAAGGGUCUGGUUCCUCACCUGGCUCUGUCAGAGGCCUCAGCUGUGCCAGUGAAGCGCUCCCCCUAGCAGCCCAGUGGUGUGGUCUGCUUCCGCCAGAG